This is an RNA transcript of Sitophilus oryzae (rice weevil), 1381 nucleotides long. RefSeq lists it as uncharacterized. The transcript is spliced from 5 exons. The record is from RefSeq and is a predicted model, not a curated record. NCBI's taxonomy places the organism in Eukaryota, Metazoa, Arthropoda, Insecta, Coleoptera, Curculionidae.
AAUUGCAUCUUUCUAGUUAGGAUGCAUUAUUAACAUUAUUACAAAUAAAGGAAAGAAUAUUUAUUUUUAUAUAAAAAUGGGAUGUGGAAUCCGAGCCCCUUGAGACUCGAGGCACUUGUUCCGCGGAGCCGCGGUGUAUACGCCACUGGUUAAAUAGACGCCCCAAUCCUUUUGAUGGUUCGCCAAAGGCUCCGGAAAAAACGGAGACAACGCCGUCCGACUGGGCAUAGGCUCGGCUCGAAGCUCAGACCCCGUACAAAUAUGACGAGUCAACCUCAAAUCCGCUUGAGGUUGACUCGUCUCGGGUGUCUCUCGCACUCGUCUCGACAUAUUUAUACGCAGCUUAACAUCUACAUAAUGAAACAAGAGUGAAAAGUAAAAUUUUACACCUACGUAUCCUAUUGGCUAGGUGGUUUCAAAAUGCUACCACUUAGGAGCGAUAUUUUUUUCCUUUUUUUUUCGUUUGAUCGGGGGUUAAAUUGUCAACGAUAAAUAACAGUUUUUGUAAUGUCAUUGUACACCUAAAAACUAAAUUUGUCCGGUCCUAAAAAAUGAAUAAUUCCCGGUUAAGCUAUGAAAGACCAACCUAUUAUUCCCAAAACGUUUUAGUAGGAAAUUGGUUUGAAGAAUCGGUAGGAAAAUAUACCAAAAAACAAUGUAGACAUAAUACAUCUUAUGAAACAGAUUACAUCCCAAAAUGUCCUGUAGACAAAGAAUUCAAUGAUACUUUUCGAAGUGACAUACAAAUAAAAUCUGAGUUUGGUGAUAAUAUAUCUCCUCCUAAAAACACAUCCCAGAGCCAAAAUUAUUUCGAUAACUAUACUACAACUUAUGACUUAUCAUACCAGUAUUUUCCCGAAUGGAUUCAAGGAACAUUGACACGUAAAAUGAGAGUUGCAUUACUAAAGCAUGAACCAACUGAGGAAUACUUAAAUAGCUAUGUUAGUUUACGUUUGUUAUUUUAAAUUAGUGGAAAAAGGUUAUUCAAUUAAAUUAAAAGAGGGAAAUUUAUCAAUAAGAAGUGAUAUGAGUAAAAAUAAAACUCAUGAAUGGAAAUGUGAUGUAUUAGAUCCAAGAAGAACCGUUCUAACAACCAAUCAAACCGACUAUAAAAAAUAUGAUUCGCCUUAUUACAAAUCCCAUAGAUGGGUAAAGCCAACACCCAUUAAAGUCAGAUGUGGAAACGCAGUUAAUUUGGUUUUCAAGCAGUUUCCUUCAAAUCAUCCAAGAAAUAUAUGGACCAAGUGUAAUCCAAUAACAUGGGAAUGUGAACAGGAUAGAAUACCACAAGAAAAAUGCGUUUGCAGUUCAUAAAACAAACAGUUUAAUGUACAAAUUCAAAAAAACUCAUGAUCACAAAAAUAUAUACAUUUAAAUAUUA